This 520-nucleotide ribosomal RNA is filed under the name Francisella tularensis subsp. holarctica. RNAcentral describes it as "partial 23S ribosomal RNA". It matches the Rfam family "Bacterial large subunit ribosomal RNA", at positions 183 to 702 of the family's 2925-position model. Lineage: Bacteria; Pseudomonadati; Pseudomonadota; Gammaproteobacteria; Thiotrichales; Francisellaceae. The record is from RNAcentral.
ACGAGGGGAACUGAAACAUCUUAGUACCCGGAGGAAGAGAAAGAAAAAUCGAUUCCCUGAGUAGCGGCGAGCGAAACGGGAAGAGCCCAAACCAACAAGCUUGCUUGUUGGGGUUGUAGGACACUCUAUACGGAGUUACAAAAGAACAUGGUAGACGAAUCAUCUGGAAAGAUGAAUCAAAGAAGGUAAUAAUCCUGUAGUCGAAAACAUAUUCUCUCUUGAGUGGAUCCUGAGUACGACGGAGCACGUGAAAUUCCGUCGGAAUCUAGGAGGACCAUCUCCUAAGGCUAAAUACUCUCUAGUGACCGAUAGUGAACCAGUACCGUGAGGGAAAGGUGAAAAGUACCCCGGAAGGGGAGUGAAAGAGAACUUGAAACCGUGUGCUUACAAGUAGUCAGAGCCCGUUUAUGGGUGAUGGCGUGCCUUUUGUAGAAUGAACCGGCGAGUUACGAUCUGAUGCAAGGUUAAGCAGCGAAUGUGGAGCCGUAGCGAAAGCGAGUCUGAAUAGGGCGUUGAGUAU